UGCCAGCAGCCGCGGUAAGACGGAGGGUGCAAGUGUUAUCCGGAUUUAUUGGGUUUAAAGGGUACGUAGGCGGCAUGGUCAGUCAGUGGUGAAAGUUCGCAGCUUAACUGUGAAAUUGCCAUUGAUACUGCCAAGCUAGCGUAAAGUUGAGGUGGGUGGAAUUCUACAUGUAGCGGUGAAAUGCAUAGAUAUGUAGAGGAAUGCCGAUAGCGAAAGCAACUCACUAAGCUUUUACGGACGCUGAGGUACGAAAGCGUGGGGAGCGAACAGGAUUAGAUA
Molecule: ribosomal RNA, 279 nt
Filed under: uncultured bacterium
Lineage: Bacteria
Description: partial 16S ribosomal RNA
Rfam family: Bacterial small subunit ribosomal RNA
Source: RNAcentral